CGUUCCCGGGCCUUGUACACACCGCCCGUCACACCAUGGGAGUUGGUUUUACCUUAAGGCGGCGGGCUAACCCGCAAGGGAGGCAGCCGACCACGGUAAGGUCGGAGCGACUGGGGUG
This 118-nucleotide ribosomal RNA is filed under the name uncultured bacterium. Its description in RNAcentral is "partial 16S ribosomal RNA". It matches the Rfam family "Bacterial small subunit ribosomal RNA", at positions 1369 to 1482 of the family's 1533-position model. The record is from RNAcentral.